UCUGGGCAGCCUGCCCCGCCCGCAUGGCCGACCAAUCGGAAGCCUGAUAGGAGCCGGAGCUCACCGCGGGCGGGGAGAGUGUGAGAACCCGGCGGAUGCACCGCCCCUCAACCGCUGGUAGCUCUUGCCUACUAGGAAGUACGUGGGCUACAAGCUAGGAGUGACAACUUACUAAAUUCCUUUUGUUCCUGCUCGGAGUUUCCUAUUAAAGGAUGGCCGAACACAUCUGAAAUUAGGACUGCAAAGAUUAAACCACCUUCAUGUUAACUUCUACAACAAAGGGGACCAGACCAACUUGCACGCCACCUGCACCUCUCAAGCUGGGCUGUGCUUCAGAGGGUCAGGUUCCCCAGACUCACUGAGAGGCUCUACGUUGGUGCUGGGCUCCAGUCGGGAGGCAUCCUUGGGGAAACUACAGUCCCAGCCAUCAACUUCUACCUGCUCCCCUUCACCUGUGACAGUAAGAAGAGAGGGUCAGGCUGGAAGUAGGAAAAUUGGGGAAGAACUGGUAGAAAAUGGGGUGACAGCUGAGAAGAGGCUGAAGUAGCAGUACCUGAUCUCUGGGUGAGCUCGGCCACAGGAGGAAGCACUGGAGGGUCUCUGGUCUGAAGGAAGUAGAUCACUAGCAACGUCAAGGCGUAGUUAUUGAGAAGGGGGCCGCCCCCUGAAUAAUAACCAAGAAUUCCAGUUAGGAAGAAGUAGCUAUAAGCCCUGGUUCCUGUGUUCACUUUCCCCCCUAAAUCCCUCCCUUUACCUAACACCAGCUCAGGCCAAGUCUGUCCUGAUUCUUACCUGACAGCCCAUUAUGUUGAGCCCAGCAGCGUAGGGUGUACACCAGGGGCCGGACUCGGCCAUCCAUCUCAGAGCAGAGAUUCAGGAAACGGGAGUUAUACAAAGCCAGCCUGGGACAAUGGAGAAACAAAGUUGUUAUGGUGUAGGAAUUCUUGAGACCUAAUAUCCCCCUGUCUUUCAUUAUAGACUUAGGACCAGCUAAAAUAAGAUCCAAAGAGUUUUGCCAAAACACUGGUCAUAUUGAAGGGGUACACAAAAGAACAUUAAAUAAAUCUAGGGAAUGUGGUUAAAUGGUGGGAUAUUUGCCUAGAGCCUGAGCCAUGGGGUGGGGGAAGUAUGUAUCAGUGGAACCUUAGACAACACUACAUUCCAUAUGCUCAUCCUGUAGUUACCAUUCAUAAACCAUGCUGUUUAUAUAGAACUGCUCAAUAGCUAGGUGUGGUAAGCAUAUACCUAUAAUCCCAGCACUCAGGAGGUUGAAUAAGGAAUAUGGAAACCUUGUCUCAAAAGAUACAGGACCAGUGAGACGGGAAGAGUCUGCCACCAAGACUGACACCUCAGUUCAGUCCCUAGCACUCACGUGUUACAAGGAGAGCGCUGACUCCCACAAGUUGUUCUGACUACAGAGAUGAGAUAUCACAAACAAACAUGUCAUUUAAAACUUUUUUUGAAACCGGGCAGUGGUGGUGCAUACCUUUAAUCCCAGCAUUCAGGAGGCAGAGGCCAACUGAUCUCUGUGAGUUUGAGACCAGCCUGGUCUACAGAGCAAGUGCCAGGACAGCCUCCAAAGCUACAAAGAAACCCUGUCUUGAAGAAAAAAAGAAAAACAAAAAACAAAAAGCAGCAAUGCAAAGCCGGGCAUAAUAGCACAUUCCUGUAAUCCCAGGAUUCAGGAGGCUAAGGCAGGAGAAUCAAGGGCUAGAGGCCAGUACAGACCACACAGCAAGACCCUGACUCAGGAGUACAGAGUAUCCCAACAAAAACAAACACUAAAAUGGAAGCUAGGUAGGAGGUGACAUCACUGGGAGAAAGGAGGAUUGAACCAAAGAAGAAAAAGCUCAAUUCCGUGGGCAUAAGACUUCCAAGUCAGGACUCCCUCCUCCUACAUCCCAGAACUUAAGAGCCAGCCUUCCUCAACCCCAGCAUGAAAGUACCGGUUACUGAGGGAGAUGUCCCCAUGAAGACCUGAAGGCCGAUGACAAAACUUGACGACCGGGCGCCGGGCGGAAGGCACAGUUUGGACUCUGUACACUCCAGGGACACAGCCCCGCAGGAUAGAGCCCACGAGCUCUAGCACUGCCGCCGCCUCCUCCUUCUCGUCCUUUGAAGCUUUGCCCAGUUUCCCCUCUCCCCUGUCCUCUUGCAGCGGUGAAACCGGAGGCAGGGACUGGGGAGAAGUGACAGUGUCAGAGCCCAAAGCGGAAUCUGGGGUCUGUGGUGCCAGAGAAGACGUGGUUUCAAGAUCCAGGGCCUCAGAAUCGUGGAGAGAAGUUGGAGACGAUCCAAGAAGAGGUCCAGAUCACAGCCAUGAACAUCAAAGCUGUUUAUAGAAGAGCCAAAAGGAUGGACCACACAGCCUAGGUACCAGAGGAUACAGGUCAAAAGACAGUAGGGGGCCAGCAAGAUGGCUCAGAAGGUAAAGGCACUUGCCACCAAGUCUGCUGACCUGAGUUCAAUCCCCAGGACCCAUGUGGUGGAGGAAGAGAACCGACUCCUGAAAGUUACUCUUUGACCUCCACAAGUACGUGUGUCACUUGUGCAUACACAUAAUAAAGAGGGGAGAAAACGAUGGAGCAGAAGGAUGGAGAGUGAACAUACUGGGGUACAAAGAUGGAUGAAACAGCCAAGAGAAGACUGAGGGUUCCAACACGGGCAGGCAGAGCAACAAGAGUUAGGGAGAGCUCGCUCACCAGGGAAGAACUCUGUGAAGACCUCCUGCAUCAGGGCCACGACAAGUUUCCGAAGCUGCCGCUCGGCCUCAGACAGCUCCCUCAGCUCUACCAGCUUUGCCAUCUGUGCCUCCACGCCUGUGGCUUUGGCCAGGGCUUGGGCCAGCUGGUGGUUAUUUGAGUCCACUCCUUUGGGAGACUUGGAGGCUGGGCUCUGGAACGCCUUCUGCUCCCUGGGCCGGACCCGCAGUCCAUGUUCCCCCAGCCUGUGCUUGGGCUGUGAUAAGACAGCCUCCCGAGCACUUAUAUCGCCCAUCUCCACGAUGGCAAACACCCCCUGGCAAACCAUACAAGAGCAAGGAUCAUGGUUUGGUAAUCAACAGUUUUAAGUUUUGACAAUAGAAGAGAAUCUCUGAAAUGGGAAACAACCAAUACACUGGAAGUAUUUACUUGCUGUUUUUGUAAAAGGGAAUAUAUUUAGUUAGAUGAGUAAUUUUCACUCUUAUCCUAUACAUUUUUAUUCCUGGCUGUCAGUUAAAAACUCAUCUGCUGUCUCCUAUAUUUCACAGUGACUUGAUUUCACAGGUCAAAAUGGUCAAAAUAAGACCCACCUACCCAUA
This is a long non-coding RNA of Mesocricetus auratus (golden hamster), 3301 nucleotides long. RefSeq lists it as uncharacterized. The transcript is spliced from 3 exons. The record is from RefSeq and is a predicted model, not a curated record. Lineage: Eukaryota; Metazoa; Chordata; Mammalia; Rodentia; Cricetidae.